GUAAGGAAUAUUGCACAAUGGGCGAAAGCCUGAUGCAGCGACGCCGCGUGGGUGAUGAAGGUCUUCGGAUCGUAAAGCCCUUUUCUGCGUGACGAGAAAAAGGACGGUAGCGCAGGAAUAAGUCUCGGCUAACUACGUGCCAGCAGCCGCGGUAAAACGUAGGAGACAAACGUUAUCCGGAGUUACUGGGCGUAAAGGGCGUGUAGGCGGUUUAUUAAGUUCGUCGUGAAAUAGCUCGGCUUAACCGGGCGGGGUCGAUGGAUACUGGUAGACUUGAGGACGGUAGAGGCGUGUGGAAUUCCGGGUGUAGUGGUGAAAUGCGUAGAUAUCCGGAGGAACACCAGUGGCGAAGGCGACACGCUGGGCCGUACCUGACGCUAAAGCGCGACAGCAUGGGGAGCGAACGGGAUUAGAAACCCGAGUAGUCC
RNAcentral lists this ribosomal RNA (428 nucleotides) under uncultured bacterium. Its description in RNAcentral is "bacterial SSU rRNA". It matches the Rfam family "Bacterial small subunit ribosomal RNA", at positions 354 to 796 of the family's 1533-position model. The record is from RNAcentral.